AUUGAACGCUGGCGGCAGGCCUAACACAUGCAAGUCGGACGGUAGCACAGAGGAGCUUGCUCCUUGGGUGACGAGUGGCGGACGGGUGAGUAAUGUCUGGGGAUCUGCCCGAUAGAGGGGGAUAACCACUGGAAACGGUGGCUAAUACCGCAUAACGUCGCAGGACCAAAGAGGGGGACCUUCGGGCCUCUCACUAUCGGAUGAACCCAGAUGGGAUUAGCUGGUAGGCGGGGUAAUGGCCCACCUAGGCGACGAUCCCUAGCUGGUCUGAGGGGAUGACCGGCCACACUGGAACUGAGACACGGUCCAGACUCCUACGGGAGGCAGCAGUGGGGAAUAUUGCACAAUGGGCGCAAGCCUGAUGCAGCCAUGCCGCGUGUAUGAAGAAGGCCUUCGGGUUGUAAAGUACUUUCAGCGGGGAGGAAGGCGGUGAGGUUAAUAACCUCGCCGAUUGACGUUACCCGCAGAAGAAGCACCGGCUAACUCCGUGCCAGCCGCCGCCGUAA
This 506-nucleotide ribosomal RNA is filed under the name uncultured bacterium. RNAcentral's name for it is "partial 16S ribosomal RNA". It matches the Rfam family "Bacterial small subunit ribosomal RNA", at positions 29 to 523 of the family's 1533-position model. The record is from RNAcentral.